Ixodes scapularis (black-legged tick) is the source of this 185-nucleotide long non-coding RNA. RefSeq lists it as uncharacterized. The transcript has 3 exons. The record is from RefSeq and is a predicted model, not a curated record. Lineage: Eukaryota; Metazoa; Arthropoda; Arachnida; Ixodida; Ixodidae.
AAGUCGGGCCACUCUAGGGUGCAUUUUGAAUACGAGGACGAGCUUCAUGACAUCCUCGAGAAAGAGCACCAUAUUUCACCAACUGUGUUGUUGGCGCCGGGAAGAGUGCUUGAAAAGGAAGGAGACACCAGCGCCGAGGUUGAAACCUCCCGAGGGACAGAGGCAGGACCCUCCUCCCUUGCCUU